GAAAGGCCAAUCAAACCGGGAGAUAGCUGGUUCUCCCCGAAAGCUAUUUAGGUAGCGCCUCGUGAACUCAUCUUCGGGGGUAGAGCACUGUUUCGGCUAGGGGGUCAUCCCGACUUACCAAACCGAUGCAAACUCCGAAUACCGAAGAAUGUUAUCACGGGAGACACACGGCGGGUGCUAACGUCCGUCGUGAAGAGGGAAACAACCCAGACCGCCAGCUAAGGUCCCAAAGUCAUGGUUAAGUGGGAAACGAUGUGGGAAGGCACAGACAGCCAGGAUGUUGGCUUAGAAGCAGCCAUCAUUUAAAGAAAGCGUAAUAGCUCACUGGUCGAGUCGGCCUGCGCGGAAGAUGUAACGGGGCUAAACCAUGCACCGAAGCUGCGGCAGCGAACGUAUCACUUAAAACGCUUAACGUGACGGCAAAGCCGGCAUGUUCAAGCCA
RNAcentral lists this ribosomal RNA (442 nucleotides) under Yersinia enterocolitica. RNAcentral's name for it is "partial 23S ribosomal RNA". It matches the Rfam family "Bacterial large subunit ribosomal RNA", at positions 823 to 1219 of the family's 2925-position model. The record is from RNAcentral. Lineage: Bacteria; Pseudomonadati; Pseudomonadota; Gammaproteobacteria; Enterobacterales; Yersiniaceae.